Molecule: long non-coding RNA, 783 nt
Filed under: Vigna radiata
Lineage: Eukaryota; Viridiplantae; Streptophyta; Magnoliopsida; Fabales; Fabaceae
Description: long non-coding RNA (VRAD_LNC005498)
Source: RNAcentral
UCCUUUUCAUUUUGGGUUUUAUGCACUUUUGUUUCAAGCAUUUUAUUGUACGUUUUUCUCUUAUAUCAUAGAAUGAAAAUGGUGGGUGGAUCUCGUUGGUGAUGCAGCACUGAUGGUGGAGUAUCAAGGCUAGAAUGAAAAACGUUGUUGGAAGAAAGAAGUAGGAAAUUGAUUAGGUGGGAGUUGGUGGUGGCAGCUGUCACGUCCUUGGAGAAGAUUUAAUUUUGUCAUUGGCUUGCUUUCAUCUUUGCUGAAUGAGUUAGUGAAUUAUGCAAAUCUGGAAUUUUCUUUAAGAAGGUUGGGAGUGGAUGGAAGAGAGAAGAAUGAAAGGAGGAAGAAGGAAGAGGAAAAUGGUGUGGGAGGAAGAGAGUGACACGAUUCACUUCCAACAGUAACACGUUGAAACCAUUUAACACAUCAGCCCACCACCUAUGCAGAAAGUUAACUCCGUUAACGAAAUUUGACGGCAGGGGCUUAAUUGGUUGAAAUUAGCAGUUAUAAGAACUCAAAUGGGGAACUUUAAAAGAAAAGGACCAAAUUGGGAAAACCCAACGAAAAUAGGGACUCCUCAAUGGUUUAAACCAUAAAUAUAACCUUUUGAGUGGGAGUAAAAAUGGUUGAACUUUGUUUUCGAAGUUUUUUUUUUCAAAAAAAAAAAAAACAUUUUUUAAACUCAAACUUAUACUCACUUUAGGUUUAGUCAAUGGAUAUAACAGUUAUUAACCAAAAUGUGAAUGGAUUAGUAAUUUUUUUUUGUCAUAUGUGAUUUUUCUCCAUGAAUAU